RNAcentral lists this unclassified non-coding RNA (205 nucleotides) under uncultured Tomentella. Its description in RNAcentral is "sequence contains ITS1". Lineage: Eukaryota; Fungi; Basidiomycota; Agaricomycetes; Thelephorales; Thelephoraceae. The record is from RNAcentral.
CUGAGUUGUCGACACGAGCUGUUGCUGGUCCUCACAUGUGGGGGGCACGUGCACGCUCUGUUCACACAUCCACUCACCCCUGUGCACCCUCUGUAGUUCUGUGGUCUGGGAGACACCUCGUCUUCCUCUCUGUGGUUCUGCAUCUUUACACAUACACCUUAGUGAAGUCUUAUGGAAUGUGCAUCGCGUUUAACGCAAUACAAUA